CAUUCGCAGGGUACUACGAGCGUCCAUGUAAAACCCAAAGGACUUGGCGGUGCUUAGACCCCCCUAGAGGAGCCUGUUCUAGAACCGAUAAUCCUCGUUAAACCUCACCACUUCUGGUCAUUCCCGCCUAUAUACCGCCGUCGUCAGCUUACCCUGUGAAGACCAACAGUAAGAAAAUGGGCACAACCCAAAACG
RNAcentral lists this ribosomal RNA (195 nucleotides) under Hypentelium nigricans (northern hog sucker). RNAcentral's name for it is "partial 12S ribosomal RNA". The record is from RNAcentral. Lineage: Eukaryota; Metazoa; Chordata; Actinopteri; Cypriniformes; Catostomidae.